UACAGAGGGUGCGAGCGUUAAUCGGAAUUACUGGGCGUAAAGGGCGCGUAGGCGGUUACGAACGUGUGAUGUGAAAGCCCCGGGCUUAACCUGGGAAGUGCAUCGCAAACGAUGUAACUGGAGUAGAUGAGAGGGUGGCGGAAUUUCCGGUGUAGCGGUGAAAUGCGUAGAGAUCGGAAGGAACGUCGAUGGCGAAGGCAGCCACCUGGCAUCAUACUGACGCUGAAGCGCGAAAGCGUGGGUAGCGAACAGG
This 253-nucleotide ribosomal RNA is filed under the name uncultured bacterium. Its description in RNAcentral is "partial 16S ribosomal RNA". It matches the Rfam family "Bacterial small subunit ribosomal RNA", at positions 524 to 776 of the family's 1533-position model. The record is from RNAcentral.